RNAcentral lists this ribosomal RNA (301 nucleotides) under uncultured bacterium. Its description in RNAcentral is "partial 16S ribosomal RNA". It matches the Rfam family "Bacterial small subunit ribosomal RNA", at positions 509 to 807 of the family's 1533-position model. The record is from RNAcentral.
CAGCAGCCACGGUAACACGAAGGGGGCUAGCGUUGUUCGGAAUUACUGGGCGUAAAGCGCACGUAGGCGGAUAUUUAAGUCAGGGGUGAAAUCCCAGAGCUCAACUCUGGAACUGCCUUUGAUACUGGGUAUCUUGAGUAUGGAAGAGGUGAGUGGAAUUCCGAGUGUAGAGGUGAAAUUCGUAGAUAUUCGGAGGAACACCAGUGGCGAAGGCGGCUCACUGGUCCAUUACUGACGCUGAGGUGCGAAAGCGUGGGGAGCAAACAGGAUUAGAUACCCCGGUAGUCCCUGUCUCUUAUAC